GGCCCCAUGGUCUAGUGGUCUAGGACGCCUGGUUCUCAGCCAGGAGGACGGGGGUUCGAAUCCCCCUGGGGCUACCA
This 77-nucleotide transfer RNA is filed under the name Armatimonadetes bacterium GBS. RNAcentral's name for it is "tRNA_Glu_CTC". It matches the Rfam family "tRNA". From Rfam's summary of the family: Transfer RNA (tRNA) molecules are approximately 80 nucleotides in length. Lineage: Bacteria; Bacillati; Armatimonadota. The record is from RNAcentral. RNAcentral also lists the same sequence under 7 other names.